This 427-nucleotide ribosomal RNA is filed under the name uncultured bacterium. RNAcentral describes it as "partial 16S ribosomal RNA". It matches the Rfam family "Bacterial small subunit ribosomal RNA", at positions 355 to 774 of the family's 1533-position model. The record is from RNAcentral.
UGGGGAAUAUUGCACAAUGGGCGCAAGCCUGAUGCAGCCAUGCCGCGUGUAUGAAGAAGGCCUUCGGGUUGUAAAGUACUUUCAGCGAGGAGGAAGGCGUUGUGGUUAAUAACCGCAACGAUUGACGUUACUCGCAGAAGAAGCACCGGCUAACUCCGUGCCAGCAGCCGCGGUAAUACGGAGGGUGCAAGCGUUAAUCGGAAUUACUGGGCGUAAAGCGCACGCAGGCGGUCUGUCAAGUCGGAUGUGAAAUCCCCGUGCUCAACCUGGGAACUGCAUCCGAAACUGGCAGGCUAGAGUCUUGUAGAGGGGGGUAGAAUUCCAGGUGUAGCGGUGAAAUGCGUAGAGAUCUGGAGGAAUACCGGUGGCGAAGGCGGCCCCCUGGACAAAGACUGACGCUCAGGUGCGAAAGCGUGGGGAGCAAACA